RNAcentral lists this long non-coding RNA (3832 nucleotides) under Malus domestica (apple). RNAcentral's name for it is "long non-coding RNA (MDOM_LNC008899)". The record is from RNAcentral. Lineage: Eukaryota; Viridiplantae; Streptophyta; Magnoliopsida; Rosales; Rosaceae.
GGAAGGGCUGUUGGUGGUGGAAUGACAGGUCCUCCAAUGGCUGAUCAUUCUAUGAGGGGCCGUCCUGGAGCUAUGUCUUCUGAUGUACUAACAAAUGGUCGAAAUAUGAAUCUUGCUAAUCAGCUCCCAGUUGAUUCAAUGCCUAGGCCUGGACGUGAAACAGUUCCUUUACCUCUGGAUGCAUCCAGCACUUUAUAUGUUGAAGGACUUCCUCCUGACAGCACAAGGAGGGAAGUAGCUCGUAUCCUUUAUGAUGCUUAAGAAUUAUUGCAUAUUGCUUUCCAAUCUUAUUGUUUAACUCAAUAGUUUUUCCAUCGCUCCUCCUUUACAUAACUCUUAAGAUAUCUUUCGUCCUUUUGUGGGAUACAAAGCAGUGAGGCUUGUGAGCAAAGAGUCCAAACACGUAUGUGGGGGUGGAUUAUUGUAAACAAUUACUUUUCUUAGUCAUUCUGUUUUUCUUGAUCACUCUGACUUGAGAUUGUCGUUGUGCUACUUGGUUCGACUCUUGGGAAGUUUAUAAUCUUUCUUCACACUAAUAUUCCGGUUUGUCCAUAAUGCAGCGUGGCGGGGAUCCUCUUAUUCUUUGUUUUGUGGAUUUUGAAAAUCCAGCCUGUGCAGCAACUGCUCUGAGUGCCUUGCAAGGUGAUUGCUUUUUAUUGUCAUCAACCUUGGUGACUAUCAGUGUCAAAGAAAGCUUAAUUCUUUCUUUCUGUUUUUAUUUGUUUCCUUUAUAGCUUCACAAGUGUUAUUUUCUAUCAUACCUUAUUCAAUCAUGUAAAGGGUAAAUUUAUGUUAAAAUUCUUCCAUGCAUAGUAGGUGUAAAGAGGUUGAGGCAGUUCAUAAAAAUGUUAUAGAUGGCUUCUUGUGAUUUAAUAUUGGAGUUCAUAAUAUCUCUACACUACAUAUCGUGUAGAACUAGCUGGAUUGCUCAUUAUUUUCCCAUGUUUGUUGUUUUUGAAAAGCUGGAAGAUGCUGACAUUUGUGUUGCUGGAAGAUGCUGACAUUCAUGUAAUUCCAUGCAUAGUGUUUUAGUAUGUGUAAAGACGUUGAGGCAGUUGAAAAAAAAAAUGUUAUAGAUGGUUUCUUGUGAUUUAAGAUUGAAGUCCAUAAUAUCUCUACACUCCCGAUUGUGUAGAACUAGUAUUGCUCAUUAUAUUUUCCCGUGCUCGCGGUUUUUGAAACGCUGGAAGAUGCUUACAUUUGUGUUGCGUUUGCAGGUUAUGAAAUGGAUGAACAUGCUCCUGAUUCUAAUUACUUGCGGCUGCAGUUUUCUCGGUUCCCUGGUCCUAGGUCUGGACCUGGCCGUAACAAGAGGUGAUAGGCAUUAGGUGAUGAGAAAUAUCUGUUUUUGAUGUAAUCAAGAUUGCAUUUGCUUUUAAUACAUUCCAUAUAUAUAUAUAUAUAUAUAUAUAUAUAUGUAUUGCUCAGGCUUGGGCACACACCAACUGUAAGCACUUCUGAUGCACAUUGUUGUUUCGAGGUAGUGAAUCAGAAACAGUUUUAUAGUUGUGCAAUUAAACAGAGAUCUGAUUUUGCACGUCCAUGGUCUACAAAAUUUGUAAGUGUUUUUAGAAGUGGCAAGUUUCUCAGGCACAAACCCUUUAAAAACUAGUGUGUUUUUUUAGCAUGGAUUUGCAGGCUUCUGUUACAUAUAUCAUAUGGUAAGUGAUUUCCGCUCGCUUUUUCUCCUUGUACAACUCCUUUUUUCCUAGUUUAAGGGUUGGAUAAAUCAAAUCAAAGGAGAAUAAGUGGAAAGAAACAUAAGGUGAAUGCAGGAGGAGAAAAUGGGAACGUGCCGAUGACUACCGAUCAAACUCGUCUUUUCUUGUAACUUCCAACUGCAUGGAGAAAAGCAAGACACUGCGUGAUGAGAAUGGGCAUUGCAUGGUGUCAUGUCUUGUGGUGUUAGAAAUUUGAUCCGAGUCCUUCCCAUUUGGACUACAGUUAAGGACAGGCUCUACUAUGUCCUCCCAAUGCUAAGCACUAGGUAGUGGGCUGCCGACUAGUCUAUGUGCCACUGUACAUAUCACAUGGGCUUUCAACCCAUAAUCCUAUCCUGCUAGAGCUUCCCCCUACCCUUCUUGAAAUUAGUAUACCGUCAGGUAUGUUGCUGUCUCUCAUAUCACGUGACUAAUGAUUCGUUUGGAAUUACUUCUUUCAGAAACACUUAUACUACAAGUGUUUUUAUUGUAGACACGUUAAAUCUUUACAAACAAUCCAAGUGUUCAUUGAAAAAUAUUUGAAAGUGCUUCUUGAAAAAGCAUUUGGCAAGUGCUCCUCUAAAGAUAGUUUAUACGAGUCAAAAGAAUUUCUAAUAUUUUAUCUUUAUGCCAAUCGCAACAGAACACAUUUAGCUUUUCCAGAAUCAAUCCUAAACUAGUUCUAAGCAAAGAAAGGGCAAUAUAACAUAAGGACAACGAAGAAUCUCUCUAACAUUAAAGGUUAUGUUUGUUCGGUCACUAGACUCAAACAAAAGAGAAAAGUAGAAGUGGGCAAUAAAUUGGUUUUCGAUUACCAUCAAAUUGGCACAACAUUCGGCAUUGUUUCGCAAAAGACUGCUUUUUUUUCUUAGCAUUAGUUUUACACACACUCUAGUGUGUGGUAAAAACAAGCUAGGGUUUGGUUGGAGAACAAGUCUGAGCAGUUACAUGCCAUGUGGGCUGGAGGGUUUCGUUUGGUGCCAUUACUCUUUUUUCUUGUUCUAUCAUCCUUGUCGAACUGGAAGAGAAAAAGGAGGGGAAAAGGGAGUUUAGGGCAAAAAGGAUACUGAGUUUAUAAACCAGGAAAUGUCUAAGCAAUUUGUUUGUGCCAACGUGACUGUUAUCUAAAUAUAGCGUACUUGUGGUAUAAAAGAAAAAGGCAAAAAGGGUAACUGUAAAUAGUUGUUGUACUUAAGUGUAAAUUGUCCCACAACUUGUCCAGGGACCAGUGCAUAUAAGUUGUAGCUGCAAGUGCAAGGAGCAACCUCUGGAUUAGAUAGACGGAUGGACUUGGUUUGGUAUGAUUCCAAGUCGUCGUUGAUGUUUCUUCUUCUUUGUGGCCCAGCCACCCAGGACUAUAGUCCUUAUUUGGUAGGUAUUUAUUGCAAGGCUAACUAUAGGAUUGGAGAUAGACAAAGGGAGAUGGGACAUGGAGAAUGGUUUGCCAAGUUUGUUUAGAAUGGAUCGGGAUCAAUGCCCGUUGGAUCCCUAGUAAUUGAAUAUUAGUUAAAGAUUCAACGUCUAUGAAUCUCGGUCUAUGUUAUGAACUGUUUUUACAAUUUUCGUUCAUUGUGUAUCACGUAAUAUGCAUAAUGUUAGACAAUCCACUUGUUUUAUUUGAGACAACUGUAUUUGAUGCACUUCCUAAUUUCUGUUUUCUGACUUGCUUCAAUCUACAUUCUCUUGAUAUUUUUUUUUCCAUUUUACUCGGUUUUAUGAUAGUGAGAACAUUCAACAUGGCCUCUUCUUCCUCAAGUUGCUUCUUUGUGAUACGUAUAUCUGUUUUUGUACUAAAACAUGUAUCCUACUUGCUUUUAAAGGAAAUGCCUUCGUACACUUUUGGAGAAGCGAGUACUUUUGGUGGAGCUGGAAUGGGAAAGGCUGUUGGUGGUGAAAUGACAGGUCCUCCAAUGGCAUGAUCAUUCUAUGAGGGCCAGUCCUGGAGCUAUGUCUUCUGAUCUAUUAACAUAUGGUCGAAAUAUGAAUCUUAUUAAUCAGCUCCCAGUUGAUGCAAUGCCUAGGCGUGGACGUGAAACAGUUCCUUUACCUCUGGAUGCAUCCAGCACUUUAUAUGUUGAAGGACUUCCUCCUGACAGCACAAUGAGGGAAGUAGCUCGUAUCCUUUAUGAUCC